AGAAGAGUUCCAACCAACCUACCCCACCCUAUAAACGACCAACUUAAACUAAAAGUCUUACCACUUCAAAAAAGUACCUAAAGGGAAAUCUGAAAUAUAGUUAAAAAUAAAACAAGGAAAGGAGAAAACCCGUGCCUUCUGCAUCAUGACUUAACGAGAUAACAAAGAAAAAUUUCUAAUACCCGAAAGGUAACGAGCUAAUCUUACCCACCCAAAGAGUUAUACCCUUACUGUUGCAAUAGUAAGAGAAGAGGAGAGAUUAGAGGUUAUAUGCCUACCGCGCUACCUGAUAGCUGGUUUUCAGGGAAAGAGGUAUAAGCCUCUCUAUCAAAAAGACAACCCUUCAUUCCAUAAAAGAAAGAACACCUUAAAAAUAGAAAGAAAGCAGAAGACAAGUUCUGCUUUCAAGAGGGAGACAACCCAGAGUGUAAAAAAGACCAUAUAGAAAAAGGGAAGAAAAGCAAAGUAGGCCUAAAAGCUGCCAGCAUAAAAGAAAGCGUUAAAGCUCGGAAAACUUCCCCCAAAAAUAUUUGAAAAACGAUCUCUUUUCACUAAAAGUACCUGAACAAGAUAAUGUUAAGAUAAGUAAAAAGAAACCCCUCCCCUCCUCCUACAAGGAAAUUUAAACGCCAAAACCAAGGACAGUUAAAACCAAGAUAACUGAAAAGAACAUCCUAACAACCCAGUUUUGAGAGAGGAAGGAGAAACAGAGAGGAAGGAACUCGGCAAAUCGGAAAAAGGACUGUUUACCAAAAACAUAGCCCUUUGGAAAAAUAAAGGGUCACGCCUGCCCAGUGGCUUUAGCUAAACGGCCGCGGUAUCUUGACCGUGCAAAGGUAGCAUAAUCAUUUGUCUUUUAAAUGGAGACUUGUAUGAACGGCAAAACCUUUUUCAACUGUCUCCCUCUCUAACCUUACAAAUUUCUACCUUUGUGAAGAAGCAAAGAUCAAAAAGAAAGACGAGAAGACCCUGUCGAGCUUUAGUUUCAAGAUGAACCUCUACUAUCAUCCCAGGACUUUGGUUGGGGCAACCAUGGAGAAAAAGAAUCCUCCAGACCGAAUAGAAGAAUACACCUCUCUAUUAAACAUUUAGAGAACCAGAAACUGGUAAUCGGAAAAAGUUACCGCAGGGAUAACAGCGUCAUCUCCUCUAAGAGUCCUUAUUGACGAGGAGGUUUGCGACCUCGAUGUUGGAUUAGGGCAUCCUUUGGGUGCAGAAGCUCUAAACGGUUAGACUGUUCGUCUAUUAAAGCCCUACAUGAUCUGAGUUCAGACCGACGCAAGUCAGGUCAGCUUCUAUCUUCUUCUUCAAGUCUUCCUAGUACGAAAGGACCGGAAAUCCCCUUUAAAUGGAUACCUCCAAAAAGGAAAAAAGGAAUAAAAAAAUUUUCACGAAAACUCCACAAAGCCAGAAACAAGAUCUUUA
This 1425-nucleotide ribosomal RNA is filed under the name Holothuria spinifera. RNAcentral describes it as "16S ribosomal RNA". It matches the Rfam family "Bacterial large subunit ribosomal RNA". The record is from RNAcentral. Lineage: Eukaryota; Metazoa; Echinodermata; Holothuroidea; Aspidochirotida; Holothuriidae.